Molecule: ribosomal RNA, 2672 nt
Filed under: Klebsiella pneumoniae
Lineage: Bacteria; Pseudomonadati; Pseudomonadota; Gammaproteobacteria; Enterobacterales; Enterobacteriaceae
Description: partial 23S ribosomal RNA
Rfam family: Bacterial large subunit ribosomal RNA
Source: RNAcentral
CACUAUCGUUAACUGAAUACAUAGGUUAACGAGGCGAACCGGGGGAACUGAAACAUCUAAGUACCCCGAGGAAAAGAAAUCAACCGAGAUUCCCCCAGUAGCGGCGAGCGAACGGGGAGCAGCCCAGAGUCUGAAUCAGCUUGUGUGUUAGUGGAACGGUCUGGAAAGUCCGACGGUACAGGGUGAUAGUCCCGUACACCAAAAUGCACAGGCUGUGAACUCGAAGAGUAGGGCGGGACACGUGGUAUCCUGUCUGAAUAUGGGGGGACCAUCCUCCAAGGCUAAAUACUCCUGACUGACCGAUAGUGAACCAGUACCGUGAGGGAAAGGCGAAAAGAACCCCGGCGAGGGGAGUGAAAAAGAACCUGAAACCGUGUACGUACAAGCAGUGGGAGCACCUUCGGGUGUGACUGCGUACCUUUUGUAUAAUGGGUCAGCGACUUAUAUUCUGUAGCAAGGUUAACCGUAUAGGGGAGCCGCAGGGAAACCGAGUCUUAACUGGGCGUUAAGUUGCAGGGUAUAGACCCGAAACCCGGUGAUCUAGCCAUGGGCAGGUUGAAGGUUGGGUAACACUAACUGGAGGACCGAACCGACUAAUGUUGAAAAAUUAGCGGAUGACUUGUGGCUGGGGGUGAAAGGCCAAUCAAACCGGGAGAUAGCUGGUUCUCCCCGAAAGCUAUUUAGGUAGCGCCUCGUGAAUUCAUCUUCGGGGGUAGAGCACUGUUUCGGCUAGGGGGUCAUCCCGACUUACCAACCCGAUGCAAACUACGAAUACCGAAGAAUGUUAUCACGGGAGACACACGGCGGGUGCUAACGUCCGUCGUGAAGAGGGAAACAACCCAGACCGCCAGCUAAGGUCCCAAAGUCAUGGUUAAGUGGGAAACGAUGUGGGAAGGCACAGACAGCCAGGAUGUUGGCUUAGAAGCAGCCAUCAUUUAAAGAAAGCGUAAUAGCUCACUGGUCGAGUCGGCCUGCGCGGAAGAUGUAACGGGGCUAAACCAUGCACCGAAGCUGCGGCAGCGACACGAUGUGUUGUUGGGUAGGGGAGCGUUCUGUAAGCCUGCGAAGGUGUGCUGUGAGGCAUGCUGGAGGUAUCAGAAGUGCGAAUGCUGACAUAAGUAACGAUAAAGCGGGUGAAAAGCCCGCUCGCCGGAAGACCAAGGGUUCCUGUCCAACGUUAAUCGGGGCAGGGUGAGUCGACCCCUAAGGCGAGGCCGAAAGGCGUAGUCGAUGGGAAACAGGUUAAUAUUCCUGUACUUGGUGUUACUGCGAAGGGGGGACGGAGAAGGCUAUGUUAGCCGGGCGACGGUUGUCCCGGUUUAAGCAUGUAGGCUGGUUAUCCAGGCAAAUCCGGAUAAUCAAGGCUGAGGUGUGAUGACGAGGCACUACGGUGCUGAAGUAACAAAUGCCCUGCUUCCAGGAAAAGCCUCUAAGCAUCAGGUAACAUCAAAUCGUACCCCAAACCGACACAGGUGGUCAGGUAGAGAAUACCAAGGCGCUUGAGAGAACUCGGGUGAAGGAACUAGGCAAAAUGGUGCCGUAACUUCGGGAGAAGGCACGCUGGUGUGUAGGUGAAGUCCCUGCGGAUGGAGCUGAGACCAGUCGAAGAUACCAGCUGGCUGCAACUGUUUAUUAAAAACACAGCACUGUGCAAACACGAAAGUGGACGUAUACGGUGUGACGCCUGCCCGGUGCCGGAAGGUUAAUUGAUGGGGUUAUCCGUAAGGAGAAGCUCUUGAUCGAAGCCCCGGUAAACGGCGGCCGUAACUAUAACGGUCCUAAGGUAGCGAAAUUCCUUGUCGGGUAAGUUCCGACCUGCACGAAUGGCGUAAUGAUGGCCAGGCUGUCUCCACCCGAGACUCAGUGAAAUUGAACUCGCUGUGAAGAUGCAGUGUACCCGCGGCAAGACGGAAAGACCCCGUGAACCUUUACUAUAGCUUGACACUGAACAUUGAGCCUUGAUGUGUAGGAUAGGUGGGAGGCUUUGAAGCGUGGACGCCAGUCUGCGUGGAGCCAACCUUGAAAUACCACCCUUUAAUGUUUGAUGUUCUAACGUUGGCCCCUGACCGGGGUUGCGGACAGUGUCUGGUGGGUAGUUUGACUGGGGCGGUCUCCUCCCAAAGCGUAACGGAGGAGCACGAAGGUUAGCUAAUCCUGGUCGGACAUCAGGAGGUUAGUGCAAUGGCAUAAGCUAGCUUGACUGCGAGCGUGACGGCGCGAGCAGGUGCGAAAGCAGGUCAUAGUGAUCCGGUGGUUCUGAAUGGAAGGGCCAUCGCUCAACGGAUAAAAGGUACUCCGGGGAUAACAGGCUGAUACCGCCCAAGAGUUCAUAUCGACGGCGGUGUUUGGCACCUCGAUGUCGGCUCAUCACAUCCUGGGGCUGAAGUAGGUCCCAAGGGUAUGGCUGUUCGCCAUUUAAAGUGGUACGCGAGCUGGGUUUAGAACGUCGUGAGACAGUUCGGUCCCUAUCUGCCGUGGGCGCUGGAGAAUUGAGGGGGGCUGCUCCUAGUACGAGAGGACCGGAGUGGACGCAUCACUGGUGUUCGGGUUGUCAUGCCAAUGGCACUGCCCGGUAGCUAAAUGCGGAAGAGAUAAGUGCUGAAAGCAUCUAAGCACGAAACUUGCCCCGAGAUGAGUUCUCCCUGAGACUUUAAGUCUCCUGAAGGAACGUU